AUUCCUACGGGAGGCAGCAGUGGGGAAUAUUGGACAAUGGGCGAAAGCCUGAUCCAGCGACGCCGCGUGGGUGAAGAAGGCCUGCGGGUUGUAAAGCCCUUUCGGUAGGGACGAAAGCUCUCGACCUAACACGUCGGGAGGUUGACUUAACCUACAAAAGAAGCACCGGCUAACUCUGUGCCAGCAGCCGCGGUAAUACAGAGGGUGCGAGCGUUAAUCGGAAUUACUGGGCGUAAAGCGCACGUAGGCGGCUUGGUAUGUCGGGUGUGAAAUCCCCGGGCUCAACCUGGGAACUGCACUUGUGACUGCAUGGCUAGAGUCCGUAAGAGGGGGGUGGAAUUCCACGUGUAGCAGUGAAAUGCGUAGAGAUGUGGAGGAACACCGAUGGCGAAGGCAGCCCCCUGGGAUGAGACUGACGCUCAUGUACGAAAGCGUGGGGAGCAAACAGGAUUAGAUACCCUGGUAGUCCACGCCCUAAACGAUGUCGACUAGUUGUCGGGUCUCUACAGACUUGGUAACGCAGCUAACGCGUGAAGUCGACCGCCUGGGGAGUACGGUCGCAAGGUUGAAACUCAAAGGAAUUGACGGAAU
RNAcentral lists this ribosomal RNA (591 nucleotides) under uncultured bacterium. Its description in RNAcentral is "bacterial SSU rRNA". It matches the Rfam family "Bacterial small subunit ribosomal RNA", at positions 335 to 919 of the family's 1533-position model. The record is from RNAcentral.